UCUGUAGAGUAGAUAUAGUAGUUAGAGCAGGUUUGGGCUUAUCAAGAAUUUGUACAUUAAGGUUUAGGAGCAGCUUCUUCAUAAGCAGCAGUAGACAAAUUAAUUUUCUUAACAUUUUCAGUAAUAAACCUGUUUUUUUCUUCAGCUGGGGUGAGUGGACAGAAAUCAAAUGAUGUUCACUGAUGGACUGGAGUGCUGUGGAUUAUUGUGAUGUUUUAUCAGCUGUUUAGACUCUCAUUCUGAUGGCACCCAUUCACUGCAGAGCAUCCAUUAAUGAGAAAGUGAUGGAUAAUUACAUUUCUCAAAAUCUGAUGAAGAAACAAACUCAUCAGCAUCUCUGAUGGCCUGAGGAUGAGCACAUUUACAGCAGAUGUCCAUUUUUGGACAAACUGUUCCUUUAACCCUUGUAUAGACUUUUUGUCAAAAGAAAAAUUAUACUAUUAAUUAUUUUUUCAACUUACACUCAUUGACAAGGUUAAAAAGAUGUUUUUUUUUUACACUACCAUUGAUAAAUUUUAAUCAAACUAUGCUACAGACUUUUUCCUUUUAGACCCUAAAGAAUCAUAUCAACUUGUGGAAAAAACAUCCCUUGACACCUUUAAACUCAUAAAUGUGAUACUAAAAAAGAUAAAAGGCAAAUAUCAACCAUAUAUGCUGUUCAUAUUGCUUGUAACUGGGAUAAAGUAAACAUCUGUGGAGUGUUUUAACAAAUUGUGUAAUUGUGUUGAAUUAAAACCCAACACAAGGGGUUAAAAUGAAUCUGCUUUACAAUAUGAAUUUGUCUUUAAAUAAAAAGUAUAAACUAUCAAGCAUGUUUUUCAAGCAUUGUGUUUUCUUCUCCCAUGCACUCUGUGAUCUAGUUUCCCGUCUGUGUCGGAUUAAUGUAGUUAUGUUCAGGUAUGUCUAGUUAAUUAUUAUUAUUUGCUCCACUAUAUCAGUUGUGUUCUGUUCACUGUUUGUGGUCCAGUCUAUUACAUGUGACUCUGCACGUCCGACCUGUGUUCUGCCUUUUAUAAAUUAUUAAAGAUUAUUUGCAUUGUU
This is a long non-coding RNA of Carassius gibelio (silver crucian carp), 1041 nucleotides long. RefSeq lists it as uncharacterized. The transcript has 2 exons. The record is from RefSeq and is a predicted model, not a curated record. Lineage: Eukaryota; Metazoa; Chordata; Actinopteri; Cypriniformes; Cyprinidae.